AAUACCUUUUCCAACAAUAAUUAGUGGCUUCUUAGCAUUGGCUAAUAGACUCACUGCCUGCUCUAUGAGCUCUGGUUGAGGGUAUAUGACAGGAGGUGGUGGACAUCGUCCAACUUUUGCAAUACGCUUUACUGGAACUUUUUGAGUUAAUAUCGUAGCUGGCAUGUCCAGGUAUGUGGCACCUGUAAAAUUGCAUAAUGUAUCAUCAGAAGAAUUUGAUCAAAUAUUAUUACCUCAUACAGUAAUGUGAAUUGUUUACCAGGUCUACCAUAAGUUGCCAAUCUAACAGCCUUCUCAACAUGAAGAGGUAUAAGUGCAGCCGAAGGUGGCCUGGCAGCAUAUUUGCAGUAAGGGCGGCUACUUUCAACUUGUGGCCAUUCUUGGAACCCCCCGAUUCCUUCAUGAUCUUGUGGGCAGGAUCCUCCGAUGACCAAAACUGGCCUGUGAAAGAAAGAUUUUAUUUUGGGUUGAAAUAUGCGAGAACCGCGUCGGGUCCGGGUGUGGGGUGGGUAAUGAGAAACAGGCUAGUCUUAGGUUGAUUCGUAAGCCUCAUUGUUGGCACGUUACACGGAAAAGUAUAAGUACCCAG
This 589-nucleotide unclassified non-coding RNA is filed under the name Athalia rosae (coleseed sawfly). Its description in RNAcentral is "misc RNA ENSAEAG00005011234.1". Lineage: Eukaryota; Metazoa; Arthropoda; Insecta; Hymenoptera; Athaliidae. The record is from RNAcentral.